Molecule: long non-coding RNA, 1168 nt
Filed under: Malus domestica (apple)
Lineage: Eukaryota; Viridiplantae; Streptophyta; Magnoliopsida; Rosales; Rosaceae
Description: long non-coding RNA (MDOM_LNC014934)
Source: RNAcentral
CAAGUACAACAUAUGGAUAUAAGGCCUACUGUUAUGUCCAGCAGUAUGUCGAUAUGGGUUUAAAAUUUGAACUGAAUUUCUUUAUAAUAUGAAAUUCCAAAAAAUCGACGUACAAUUAAGUACAAGACUAACCCCAAAAUGUCAAGUACAUAAUUUUCAUCCCAUAAAGUAGCCUUUAUUGUACUUGAGAUUAGCCUUAAAAUUAGUUGUAGCUGUAUUUCUCUACCACGUCAAAUCAAACACAUCCACUAGCUAGUACUGUAACGCAAUGUCACUGUCAAAAGUUGCAAUUUGAAAUUAAAUAUAUAAAAGGUAGCGGAUGAUAUCUUUUUCUAGGAAAAAAAUAGCGAUACUCUGUAGUUGCGAUGUGAAUGAAUAUAAUUAUAUUCAAGUAAUGUAUAGAAGGUUGCAAUCUAUGAUAGAUAAGUUAGGAAUUAGAAACUAAAGCAUGUAUGUAUCAGCAUACACUGUCGGCAGGAAGUCUUGUAUCAAAUUAUGCACAUUUUUAGUUCAAUAGUUUCAGAUGAAACGGUGAUUUUUUUAUUAAUCAAGUUUUGACUUAUGACUUGUUUAGACUUCUACAUGUUUAGAGUUGACAUAUAAUAUACAAUAACUAAUCAUAUAUAUAAAAAAAAUUCUGCUAGGAAAAUCACACUACAUUGAUAUAUUAUUUGAUAUGGUAAGUGAUGUGGAUAUAUCAUGCCAAUUAAAGACUUUAUUUCAUUAGAUGUUAGUUGUAUACAUGCAUAACUUGCUACACGCUACACCAUAUAAUACGCUAAAUAAUGUAAAUAUGUGGUCUUACUAGCAUUAGCCUAUAGAAAAUGAUUCAUUGCAUUUAUAUGCGCACCCUCGCUAUACAUACACCACUGGCGAGAUGAUUACAACACAAUAUUAAAUCAGUGUUCCCAAAUGAUCAUAUGAUUUAAGUAUAAGGAUAAUACUUGCAUUUCCUCUCUUGGGGAUGCACAUAUUCCUCUAUUUUCGAAUAUCGUACAAAAAAUCAUUUGACGAGCACCCGUACAAAAAAUCAUUUCUAUCGGAGAUCAUUUAGUCAUUCAAAUAUAUAGAACACAUCGAUGGUAUAGGUACUAAGUAGUAUAUUCAUGAUGGACCGUCCAUUUAUUUGAUGAUGUUGAUGCACAAAAUCAGCGGGGACUUUGGUACA